UACAGCUGUAUCAGGCCAGGCGUGGUGACUCAUGCCUGUAAUCCCAGCACUUUGGGAGACCGAGGAGGGCGAUCGAGACCAUCCUGACUAACAUGGUGAAACCCCAUCUCUUCUAAAAAUACAAAAAAUUAGCCAGACUUGGUGGUGUACGCCUGUAGUCCCAGCUACUCAGGGGGCUGAGGCAGGAGAAUCGCUUGAACCCAGGAGGUGGAGGUUGCAGUGAGCUGAGAUCGCGCCACUGCACUCCAGCUUGGGCGACAGAGCGAGACUCCAUCUAAAAAAUACAGCUGUAUCAAAUCUGCUUGUGCUUUGGCCAUCUGAGAGAUCUUAAGUGUGCAAUGCAAUGAGGAUGGAGCAACGUAUACACCAAUCAAGAGAAAGAACAUGUCCAUUACCCCAAAAAGUUCUCUUACACCCGCUUCCAGGUGAUGCCCCUGGCAACCAUGAGUUUGGCUUGUAGCAUCAAGACUUUACCUGUUCUUGAAUUUCAAUAUAUGGAACCAGGCAGGAGCAUAAUUCAGCUUCUUUGAUUCACAGUUCUUGAGAUUCAUUCAUGCUGUUGUUUGUAUCAGUAGUCCGUAUAUUUUUUAAAUUAGUGAAUCAUAUUCCAUUAUGUAAACGUACCACAACUUCUCACAUUAUUCUGUUGAUGGACACACGACCUUUUCCAGUUUGGGUUGUUAUGGGAAAAGCAACUGUAAACAUUCUUAAGACUUUUUGUGGGCACUAUUGUUUGUUUUUGGUAAAUACCUACUAACAGCGGAAUUGCUGGAUCUUAGGGUUGGUGUAAGUUUACAUUUCUCAGAAACUGCUGAACUGCUUUCCAAAGUAACAUUUUGCACGUAUGAGAGUCUUAAUUCCUCCACAACCACUCCAACAUUGGGUGGUAUUGAUCCAUUUGAUGUUAGCCAUUGGAGUAGUAUGAAAUGCUUUUUGUGAAUGUAAUUUUGGUUUAGCUCAUGAACAAUGGUAUUGACCAUACUUUCAUGUGUUUAGUGGCCACUGGUAUAUUUUCUUUUUGAAACAUAUGUCUAAGUAUUUUGCCUAUUUAAUUUUGAAUUUUUUUCUUUUUACUGAGCUGUAAGAAUUACAUAAAUUCUGGAUCUAUGAUAAUCCUCAAGUAUACAUAUUCCAAAUAUUUUCUUUUACAAUGUGGUUUACAUUAUCAUUUGUUUAAUCAUAUAUUAUGAACAGAAUUUUUAAAAAAUCACAUCCAAUUAAUCAAAUUUUUCCUUUUAUGUUGAGUCCAUUUUGUGGACUAAAUAUCAUUGCUAUACCAAAGUCCUGAGGUUAUGCUCUAAUAUUUUCCUCUAGCAGCUCUCUAAUGUUAACUUUUAUAUUUAAGGCAGUGAUCCAUCUUAAAUUGAUGUUUUGGUGAUUUGUUAUGUAUUCUUGACAAAAUGAGCCUUUUAAUAUGUUUUUUAAGUCUUUCAUAAUCUCUGGUAAUAUUUCCAAUCUUGAAUUCAAUUUCAUCUGAUAUUAAUCUAAUUCUACCAGCUUCCUCAUUCUUACUUUUGUAUGCUAUAUCUUUCCUCCAUCUUUACACAGUUCUUUAUCUGAGACUUUAUAUUAUGUAGCUGAACCUGAUUUUUUUAUCUCAUCUUCCAGUCUCUGCUUUUUAACUGGAGUAUUCGGUCUAUUUAUAUUUAAGACAAUUACUGAUAUGAUUGGUCGUAGUUCUUCCGCCUUGCAAUGCAUUUUCAUUUUGUCUCGUGUGUCUUUUAUUCCUUUGUUUCUCACUUCCUAUAUUAUUUUGGGUCAGAUUAUUGCUAUUAGAAUUCCAAUUCAAUACUUUGAUUGAAUUUUGUUUCAAUAUUUAGUUAAACUGAAAUCUGUACUUGUACUGAAUUAAAAGUAGGACAGUAGAAAUAGUCCAAACCAAACGAGAAAAAUAUUUUAAAUUGUACUUUUUUAGUUAUACAUUAUAUUUCUUCUUAGUGGUUAUUUUAGGAAUUAAAAUAUGCAUUCUUAAUUUAUCACUGUCUGUUUAAAACCAUAAAUAUUACUUCACAUACAUUAUAGAAGCUGUCAGUGCAUAAAUUAACCUAUCUACCUGUGUUUUGCUAGUGUCAUAAUUUUUAUAAAGUAUUUGCUAUAAACUUCACAUUACAAUUAAAUCAUUUUUGCAUUAAAUAUCUAGUUUUAGAUAAAAUAAUAGAGGAAAAAAUACCAUCUUUUACAUCUGCCCACAUGUUUCUUAUUUUAUUUUUAUAUUUUUGAGGAAGUCUUUCUCUGUGGUCCACGCUGGAGUGCAGUGGUGCAAUCUCAGCUCAUUGCAACCUUCGCCUCCCAGGUUCAAGAGAUUCUCGUGCCCCAGCCCCUCGAGUAGCUGGGAUUACAAGUGUGUGCCACCACACACGGCUAAAUUUUGUAUUUUUAGUAGAGAUGGGGUUUUGUGAUGUUGGCCAGCCUGGUCUCAAACUCCUGGCCUCAAGUGAUCCUCCCCCAGUGACCUCCCAAAGUUCUGGGAUUACAGGCUUGAGCCACCCUGCCAGUUGCAUCUACCUACGUAUUUCUGUUCUUUCCUGUAGAUGUACAUUUCCAUCUGAUAUCAUUUUCCUUCAUGCUGAAAAUGUUUUAUGGCACAGGUCUACUGGUAAUUAAUCUUUUUCAGAUUUUAUUUAUCUUAAAAGUCUUCAUUUCAAAUUCAUGUUCUGCUUGAUAUAGACUUCUCAGUUAAUGAGUCUGAGUCUGUGUGCAUGUGUGUAUAUGAGUGUGGAAUGCUGAUUUCCAGAGUUGUGCAUUAUUUUCUGAUCAGGGUUGUUCUGAUAUAUCCAUUCUGCUUUCAUAGAAAUCAUAACUCUUAGAGCACUAUUUAAAAAUAUUAAUAAUUCAAGAUAGCAUAAAUCAACCUUUAUUAUUAUUUUUCAAAUUCAUAUACUAGGCAGGAAGUAAAAAGAGAAUUAAAUGUACAUUUGAAACAAAAGUAUAUUUGUAAAAAAUCUUACAUUUACUAAAUUAUAAUGCCAAUAUAGAUGGCCAUUAAAUUAAUCCUUACACUGGAAUUGGUAUCCAGUUAACAAUAAUUCUCAUUAUUAUUUAUAUUGGCCUAAAUUCAUUUUAUCUUUGCAAAAUAAAAUUAUGGAAUUCUAAAACCAAUCAUUAGUUGACAGGGAAGGUUGUCAACAGAAAACUACAAUUCAUAAAUACAAACAUAUUUUAUUAUUAAGUAUCAUAAUAUAUCAUUUAUUUGGUUUUAGUUGAAUAAAACAAGUUACCCCAGGUUUCUUUGCAUGUAUGAAAGAAAAUAAAAAAUGUUAUGACAAUACAAAAUAU
Molecule: long non-coding RNA, 3276 nt
Filed under: Homo sapiens (human)
Lineage: Eukaryota; Metazoa; Chordata; Mammalia; Primates; Hominidae
Description: HSALNT0084112
Source: RNAcentral